This 5135-nucleotide long non-coding RNA is filed under the name Homo sapiens (human). RNAcentral describes it as "non-protein coding lnc-JUN-2:12". Lineage: Eukaryota; Metazoa; Chordata; Mammalia; Primates; Hominidae. The record is from RNAcentral.
GCUGCUUUCACUGGCCCGGUGGGGGCCAGCAGGGUCAGGGCCCGCGGAAACCCUCAGCCUGGCGGGCCGGGAGGCCGCGGUGCUGCACUGGCUCGGCGCGCUCCCCGAGUGGCGCUCAGGCGGGGCGCGUUCAUUUCAUCUACAGACUGUCGGGAAGGCUUCCCGAACUCCUCCUCCCUGCCCGCCUUUGCGCAGGGCCGGACUCUUCGGAAACUGAAAUCACGGGCCGCCCGGCCCCCACCAGUCCUCGUGGGAUCCGGCCCGGGUUAACCUUCUAUGGGGAGGCCCAGGAGGGCCGGGCGGAGCGCCGGGGCGGGCGUGCGCUGACGUGGCGAGCGGCUCCCUCCACCCGCUCCUCCCGCGGGCACUGCCGAGGCCCAUGGGCGGGAAGCCGGGCGGCGGGCGGGACGUGGCCUCGGUCCCGGCCCUGCCCCGCCCCGCCGCCACUGAGACUCCCAGCGCCACCAACGUCGGAGUUGCAGUUUCUUUAGCUGUCAUAUGCAGACAAGUACUACCCACCUCGCCUUUGGAGUGAGCAGCAUCCCUGUGCCCAUCCUGCUGUGAUUCAGGAGUCUCGCAGAAGACAUCAGAAUGCCUUUCUCUGAGUCACAGUCUGUAUCUUCUAGAAAAGGCUGUCCAUCUUCACCCCAAGCCCACUGGCUCCUGAGAUACGACAUCCAGACCCAGUGCAGCUGGACCUGGCCCAGGAAGAUCAUGCGGUUUCUGGGAAGCACUGGAGAAGGAAAAGGCUGAAGAAAGGAAGACCGGAAAAGAAAUACAAGUCCUUCCGCCUUGGCAAAGAUGAUAGUACCGUUCCCUUCAGUGUUCCGGUUCUGCUCUAUUGGAUAAGUUCCGGUUUGACUAUGACUACGUGAAAAUGUGGAACCAGACCUUCACCCCACAUUCCAGCUCCAGCUCUACCACAGAGGAAGUGCAAUAUCACCUUAGUUAUUCAACACAUUAUGCUCCUCGUGAUACAACCAGAGUUCACAUCAGCAAUCUUGGCAGCUCUCACCACGCUGCUGACUCACGACUCUCUCAUGUCCCAAUUUCCUGUCCAUUGUUCUUUCCUCUACUUGGCCUGAUUUCUAAAGGCCUCUCUUGGUUGCAUUAAGCGGGAUUCCUGAGGGAUUCCCUUGGCAGUUACCUUGGGGGAGCUCUUAGGUUUGGGGCUGAUCCAUGUCCUCUAAAUGUAGGACUUCAAAGCUCCCAAAGAUAGGCAGGCCCAGUGGGAAGCUGGGAAAUGCUCUCUGACCCCUCUGGGAGGGCUGGCAGUCAGAGGGCCUUUUGGAAAGAGUCAGACCUGAUCCAUAAGUCCCUGGAAAACACCCUGCCCAGGGAGCAAAUGCCACUGUGGCCUUGACUGAGGCUUCAGAAGAGUUUGGGAGCUGCAAUUCAUCCACACACGCAUUCAUUUUCAAGUAGUGGUUUGCAGUUCAGGCUUUGGAGCCACAUAAGCCUGGCUUCAAAGCCACUUUCCAGCUUUGUAGGAAGUCUCUACAUUUUUAAACCUCCAUUUUUUUUUCCUGUAAAACUGGGGUCUUCAUGGUACUUAACUUCAUCGUGAUGUUGAGAGAAUGAAAAGAAAAAGGAUAAAUAAAUGGCUUAGCCUCGUGCCUUGGCACAUAUUGUGAUUGUUUCUUCACGUCUUUGUUCUCCUGGUGAAGCAUUUAUUCAGCAAGUGUUCACCAAGAGGCUGCCGGGGCAGCUGGGCGCUGUGGCGGAAAGAACACAGAUGCUAAUAAAAGCCUGAGCACAGGAUCAGGCUCUGUGGGUAAAGAUGCUCCAGUGGACCAGCUGAACACUUUACAGGAGACUCGUUCUGGCUCUGCAUUUGGACGGCUGAGCUCCCACCCACUUCAUCCCCCACCCGCAGCACACACACCAGCUUCUGGGCCAUUUCUGAGUUGGGAGCUUCUCAGAUUACGCUCAGUGUGACCUUGGGCAAAUCCCAUCACUCAUCUCAGCCUCUGGCAUAUUUCCUAUAAAACAGAGAUAAUAAUACCCACCAUACCAAGUUUUUGUAGUAGAUUAACCAACAGCAAAUGUGAAGUGCCCAGCGAAGCCCAGCAUGUGGUUGAUGCUCCACAACUUCUAGCUCCAUUCCCCCCACCACACCUUCCAUAACCGUGUGCCAAGCUUGGGCUAGAUGCUGGUGGUCAACAGAUUAAAAGAAGCUAGACCUGCCUGCAGGGAAUUUAAACUUUAAUGGGGGAAAUAAACAUUUGAACUUCUAUCCCAGAGAAAGAGCGCUAAGGGCUGUGAUGAAAUUAUGUCUGAAGGGUUAUGGAACACCAGGAAGGGCAAAUCGCUUUGCCAGUUUGGCCCUCAGUUUCCUUGUGUGUCAAAUGAAUGAAAUUGGUUACUACCCCAUGUGAGAUGACUUAAGUGAGUUAGUGAGUGUGCAACUACAUGUCGGAAAGUUUAGUUCUGUGCUAGUGCUUCUAUUUACUUAUCUGUUUCCCCAUUAGAACUUCAUCCCCUUGAAGGGGAUGUCUUCUAAGCCUAUGUCUUAUUCAUUCCUCUGUCCCCAGCACACUGGCAUAGAACUGGUGCCCAGUCAACAUCUGUUGAGUAAACAGAUAAAAUGACUUAUUAUCUAAUUUUAUCCCCCAAGACCCCAGAGAGAUACACCAUCCUAUAGAUGGAGGAAAAACUGAAUACAGAGUUCAGUGAGUGGCCUGGCAAUCAGUGGCUAAGCCAGGCAUCUUGGAACCUGUGGUGAUGACCUUUCUGCUAGAUUUCACAACACAGGCCACUCUGGUUCGGGUGGGAUGACAUUGCUUUCCUGGACAUGACUCAGCUUUCCCUGGGGGUCACUGAACCCAGCCAUCAGCCUUCACACUGAGUCAUGGGCUGAGGUGAACUUCAGACCUGAGGAGGGAGCAGGGCUGCCCUGCCAGGUGGGUGUGCCCAGGGAUCCCUCAGUCCAGCUGAGCACACCACCUGGGAAAUCCUUCAUGGGGUGAAGAUGGGGCGGGGACAAGGAUGUCACACCAGAUCCACACCCAUCUCCCACAAGAGCGUCUAAAGAGCAACACCUAUCCCGUCACUGUGACUGGUGGGCUCUGACUCAGAGGUGCCCCUUCUCCAUCCCCAAUGUCACGUCCUCAGCAUUGACUCCAAUCAUCUUUUGUUCUGCCUGGACUCCUAGCCUCCACUCUAUCAACCUUCUUUUCAAAGAAGUUAAGUGAUUUGCCAUAACCACACAUUAUGAAUAUCAUGUACUUAUGUUCAGAAAUUCUUGACUGGCUCCCUACUACCUGGAAAAUAAAAUCUAAACCCCUGGCUCAGCACUCAAGGUCCUCUUGCUGAAGCCUCAGCCUACUUUUCCUGUUUUUUUCCUCUGUACACCCUUGAAUCCUUCAUUUUAGAUCAGUCUGUGUGUUGCCAUUCUACAGAGUUGCCCUUUACUUUCCCUUCUCCUUGCCCUUGCUAAUAUACUAACUCACUUUCAUCUGGAAUGUCCUUCCCAUGUCUUAUCCAUUCUUCGGAUCUGAGCUUAAAAUCCGCCUUAUUCAGGAAGCCCUCCCAGAUCUCCUCAGCCCAAACACUGGGAUAAUGCCAGCUAUGUUUAUUGAUAAUUUCUGUUGUGCAAAUUGUUAUGAUCAGUACUUUAUAUGCUUCAUUUCAGUUGAUAUUUCCAGCAGCCUUAUAGCUAAAUGAGUAUUUAUUACCCCAUUUUAUAGAUGUGGUAACUGAGACUCAGAGAGGAGAGCUAACUUGUCCACACCUACAUUCCUCUUGAGAUUCAAAGGCCAGUGUGCCUGACUCCAAGUUGCUCCAUGACUUUGGUUCGUACUUCCAAUGUUCUUUGCACCUCUUUGAGGUACUCAUGUUGUUGGGUGUUGUAUUUUCCUAGGGGACUCAUCCACUCAGUUCUACUGUGAUCUUCCUGAAGACAAGCAUACCUCGGACAUAUCGUGGGUUCAGUUGCAGACCACAGCCAUAAAGCGAAUAUCACAAGACAAAGUCAAGAUGGAAAUAAUCCUGGACUGAAAUCCCAGAUUCUUUCUAACUUGUUGUUGUGCCAUCCUCAACAUAUGGCUCUGCCAUCCUCAACAUCCUAACUGGUCCAAGAUGGCUGCUCCAUUAAGCAAGAAGGAUGAAGAGCAGGACAAAGGUUAACCCUUGAACAACACGGAUCUGAACUGCAUGGGUCUGCUUCUGCCUCUGCCACUCCUGAGACAGCAAGACCAAGACCAACCAUUCUUCGUCCUCUUCCUCCUCAGCCUGCUCAAUGUGAAGAUGACAAGGAUGAAGUUCUUUACGAUGAUUUACUUCCACUUAAUAGGGAGAAAUGGCACAUUAACAAAAUUCCAAUAAUGAAUAUGAUGGUGACAAAGCAGAGAGAAAGCACAAACAAUAGGAGGAAAUGUUGAAAGAUUCCCUUUCAUCUCCUAACGGCAGUCUGAGGCUGGACAUGUCUACUCCUGGGAAUAGAAUCCAAGGGCAAAAGUCCCUCACGAUAAGGAGGCCACAUUUUGAGCUGAAACGUAUGAACACCACAGCUUCAGGGCCAGGCAAAGUUGGGUUUGUGUCCCAGCAGUACAACUCUCCAGACUUUGAGCCUCACUCUCCUCUUCUAUACAAUGGAGCCAAUGACACCUCUUUCCUGUGUAUUAGAAACACCACCUAAGAAGAUGUAGAUAAAGUGACUGCAAGGAAUUGCUAAUGGCUGCAGCUAGAGGACUAAAGUCAGAACUCUGUGAAGAGGACAUCAGUUUGCCACUUUCUCUGUUCAGUAAAAAGGCAAUUUUUGUGGAGACCAUGCUCCACUAACUCAUAGGAAAGCAUUUUCUCCCUGUGACAUCUCCAGUCGAUUUCAGCCGGCAGUAACCAAGUGACUAACUCUUCCUCCAGGGGCAAAGAGCCAGACCUGGUGUUUGACUUCUCCCUAGCCUCCCAAGUGCAGAGAUGAUUCCUACCGGAUACUGGUCCUUGGAGGAAAUGGGAGAGAAAUUCAGCUUUGGCUUUAGCAAUUCAACUGAUAAAGGAGGCAGGGAAAAAGCUAAGUGAGACAGAGAGACUACAAAGCCCUCUUCCUGGAUCCUGGCAGAUGCCAAAGGAAGAAUCUGCGAGACCUCCGCUGACCUGAGCACUUCCUGCAUGAAAGGGGCUCAAUACCAAGGAAG